AUUUUUAUUUUUUACUUUAUUUUUUGUAAAAUAUUAUAAUUUUUGUUUUUUUUGUAAAAGUGGUUAAAAUUUGGUUUUUGAACUGGAUUAAUACCCAGGGAAACAAAAUUUAUUAAUUCGGGAAUAAAGUUUUUUUUAAACCGAAAAAAUAUUGACUGACUUUGGAUUUUUCUUUGGAACAUGUGUUUGGGAAAACCCUCCUUUAUUGGUAGUUUUAUAGGCCCAUGGAUGAAUGGUUAAUUUUUAUUUUUUUUAUAAUGCUAUUUUUUGUUUUUAUUUAAAACAAAAAUAUAUUUGGUUUAUAUUCCAAUUUUUUUCAUGGGUUACUAUUAUUAAUUUUUUUCGGAAAAAAAUUUUAUAUUUUUUUGAAGUUGGAAAAAAAAGUAAUUUUUAUUUUUAUGUUGUAAUGAAUUUAAAAAACAAAGUGGUACAAACU
Molecule: ribosomal RNA, 436 nt
Filed under: Setaria labiatopapillosa
Lineage: Eukaryota; Metazoa; Nematoda; Chromadorea; Rhabditida; Setariidae
Description: partial 12S ribosomal RNA
Source: RNAcentral